RNAcentral lists this ribosomal RNA (325 nucleotides) under uncultured eukaryote. RNAcentral describes it as "partial 18S ribosomal RNA". It matches the Rfam family "Eukaryotic small subunit ribosomal RNA", at positions 1470 to 1796 of the family's 1831-position model. The record is from RNAcentral.
CCCUUAGAUGUUCUGGGCCGCACGCGCGCUACACUGAUGCAUUCAACGAGUCUAAAACCUGCUCUGAUAGGGGUGGGUAAUCUUUUGAAUGUGCAUCGUGAUUGGGAUAGAUGAUUGAAAUUUUUCAUCUUCAACGAGGAAUGCCUAGUAAACGCAAGUCAUCAGCUUGCAUUGAUUACGUCCCUGCCCUUUGUACACACCGCCCGUCGCUGCUACCGAUUGAGUGGUCCGGUGAAUUAUUCGGACCGGUGGACUGUGGGGAAACCCGCGGCCUGCUGGGAAGUCUUGUGAACCUUAUCACUUAGAGGAAGCAGAAGUCGUAACA